AAGUUGAGAACAAUGAGCAUAUAGGAUAUCUAGCCGAUAGGAAAAAGCCAAUCAUCUUUUCAAUGGCGCGGCUCGAUGUUGUCAAGAACAUCACCGGGCUGGUCGAAUGGUUUGGGAAGAAUGAAAAGCUGAGAAAUUUGGUGAAUCUUGUUGUGGUUGGGGGAUUCUUUGAUCCUUCCAAAUCAAAGGACAGAGAAGAAAUGGCAGAGAUAAGAAAGAUGCAUGAAUUGAUUGACAAAUACCAACUCAAAGGUCAGAUCAGGUGGAUAGCAGCACAGACCGAUCGCCGUCGUAACGGAGAACUCUACCGCUGCAUUGCGGACACAAAAG
RNAcentral lists this unclassified non-coding RNA (330 nucleotides) under Hevea brasiliensis (rubber tree). The record is from RNAcentral. Lineage: Eukaryota; Viridiplantae; Streptophyta; Magnoliopsida; Malpighiales; Euphorbiaceae.